RNAcentral lists this ribosomal RNA (433 nucleotides) under uncultured Anaerofilum sp. RNAcentral's name for it is "bacterial SSU rRNA". It matches the Rfam family "Bacterial small subunit ribosomal RNA", at positions 341 to 792 of the family's 1533-position model. Lineage: Bacteria; Bacillati; Bacillota; Clostridia; Eubacteriales; Oscillospiraceae. The record is from RNAcentral.
ACGGGAGGCAGCAGUGGGGAAUAUUGCACAAUGGGGGAAACCCUGAUGCAGCGACGCCGCGUGAGGGAAGAAGAUUUUCGGAUUGUAAACCUCUGUCUUCGGGGACGAUAAUGACGGUACCCGAGGAGGAAGCCACGGCUAACUACGUGCCAGCAGCCGCGGUAAUACGUAGGUGGCAAGCGUUGUCCGGAAUUACUGGGUGUAAAGGGAGCGCAGGCGGGUUUGCAAGUUGGAUGUUUAAUCGAGGGGCUCAACCCCUUUCCGCAUUCAAAACUGCAGAUCUUGAGUGGUGCAGAGGUAGGCGGAAUUCCCGGUGUAGCGGUGGAAUGCGUAGAUAUCGGGAGGAACACCAGUGGCGAAGGCGGCCUACUGGGCACUAACUGACGCUGAGGCUCGAAAGCAUGGGUAGCAAACAGGAUUAGAUACCCUGGUA